RNAcentral lists this ribosomal RNA (301 nucleotides) under uncultured bacterium. RNAcentral describes it as "partial 16S ribosomal RNA". It matches the Rfam family "Bacterial small subunit ribosomal RNA", at positions 509 to 807 of the family's 1533-position model. The record is from RNAcentral.
CAGUAGCCGCGGGAAUACGAAGGGGGCUAGCGUUGUUCGGAUUUACUGGGCGUAAAGCGCACGUAGGCGGAUAUUUAAGUCAGGGGUGAAAUCCUGGAGCUCAACUCCAGAACUGCCUUUGAUACUGGGUAUCUAGAGUCCGGAAGAGGUGAGUGGAACUCCUAGUGUAGAGGUGGAAUUCGUAGAUAUUAGGAAGAACACCAGUGGCGAAGGCGGCUCACUGGUCCGGUACUGACGCUGAGGUGCGAAAGCGUGGGGAGCAAACAGGAUUAGAGACCCCGGUAGUCCCUGUCUCUUAUAC